AUGAACGCUGGCGGCGUGCCUAAUACAUGCAAGUCGAGCGAACGGACGAGAAGCUUGCUUCUCUGAUGCUAGCGGCGGACGGGUGAGUAACACGUGGAUAACCUACCUAUAAGACUGGGAUAACUUCGGGAAACCGGAGCUAAUACCGGAUAAUAUUUUGAACCGCAUGGUUCAAAAGUAAAAGACGGUCUUGCUGUCACUUAUAGAUGGAUCCGCGCUGCAUUAGCUAGUUGGUAAGGUAACGGCUUACCAAGGCAACGAUGCAUAGCCGACCUGAGAGGGUGAUCGGCCACACUGGAACUGAGACACGGUCCAGACUCCUACGGGAGGCAGCAGUAGGGAAUCUUCCGCAAUGGGCGAAAGCCUGACGGAGCAACGCCGCGUGAGUGAUGAAGGUCUUCGGAUCGUAAAACUCUGUUAUUAGGGAAGAACAUAUGUGUAAGUAACUGUGCACAUCUUGACGGUACCUAAUCAGAAAGCCACGGCUAACUACGUG
RNAcentral lists this ribosomal RNA (496 nucleotides) under uncultured bacterium. RNAcentral's name for it is "partial 16S ribosomal RNA". It matches the Rfam family "Bacterial small subunit ribosomal RNA", at positions 29 to 507 of the family's 1533-position model. The record is from RNAcentral.